GAUGAACGCUGGCGGCGUGCCUAAUACAUGCAAGUAGAACGCUGAAGGCAGAGCUUGCUCUUCUGGAUGAGUUGCGAACGGGUGAGUAACGCGUAGGUAACCUGCCUGGUAGCGGGGGAUAACUAUUGGAAACGAUAGCUAAUACCGCAUGACAACAGUUAUUGCAUGAUAACUGUUUAAAAGGGGCAACUGCUCCACUACCAGAUGAACCUGCGUUGUAUUAGCAAGUUGGUGAGGUAACGGCUCACCAAGGCGACGAUACAUAGCCGACCUGAGAGGGGGAGCGGCCACACCGGGACUGGGACACGGCCCAGACUCCUACGGGAGGCAGCAGUAGGGAAGCUGAGGCAAUGGACGGAAGUCUGACCGAGCAACGCCGAGGGAGUGAAGAAGGUGUUCGGAUCGUAAAGCGCUGUUGUAAGAGAAGAACGAGUGUGGGAGUUGAAAGUUCACACUGUGACGGUAUCUUACCAGAAAGAGACGGCUAACUACGUG
This 495-nucleotide ribosomal RNA is filed under the name uncultured bacterium. RNAcentral describes it as "partial 16S ribosomal RNA". It matches the Rfam family "Bacterial small subunit ribosomal RNA", at positions 28 to 507 of the family's 1533-position model. The record is from RNAcentral.